CGGCGAGAUCUAUUUUGCGCACGCGCAAUCGCAAUAUGUGCCAUGGCUCGCUCUGUACUGAAAUGUUUAGCCGUGAGAAAGCAGAGACUGCUUCUCUGUCCUGUAAACUUAGCUAGGUCGCCAAUUGCUGCAGAGGAAUUCUCUCUGUUCAACAAGAAGAUGAAGCGUUCGAGAGAAAAAUCAUUUGUUGAUAUUCUAGAAUGAUUUGAAGAAGUUAGACGGACGCAGAUUUGUGAAAGCUAGUGAGAAGCUGUUGAGUUGUCGUUCUAAAGAGAAUAUUGAAGUUGGAGUUGAACUGAUUAAUUAAACGGCUCCGGUCUAGUCUGAGUAAAAUCCGAUUAAGUUAUGGUGCUGUUGCUCUGUGAGUUUGCUCUCGUGUCAGCUGUCCAUAAAUGGCACUUGAAAUGAUACAGAGCAAGAUUAGUUAUAGUGUGUUGUUUUCAAAGUCAGCUUAUAACUGCCUCGUUCAACGUGUCUGUUAUGAGAAAGAAUUUGGGAAAGCUGUUGAGACAUAUGAAUCUCUGCUGGAUGACGAGGAAGAGAUUUGGCUUAUGUGGAAAACGUUUCACUCUGCAGUGUAUGCUUGUUGCUUUCUUGUGAGCAGUUGAUUUCAAUGAGUUUAUGUUGUGUGCUAUAUUAUUGUUUGUUGUAUUAGGCUAAUAAUGGCAUGAGAAGAGCUUUGAAGCUGGGCAGUCUGAGUCGAAAGAUGAAUUGUUUCAUGGAAUGAUCCAGAUGUGUGCUUGGAAUAAUGAGCCUUCUAACAAAGGAAAUGAAUAUCCAAUAUUCACAGGCUCAAGCUGGAUUAGUGAUAAGAGCAUUGAUGAUGACGAAAGGCAAGUAUAAAGAGGCUGUGUGUGCUCUUGAGUCUUUACUAAACCAUUGGGACAAACUGGAAUUUUUACCUCACUCGAUAUUGGAUCUUGCAAAACUUGUGUAUGAGUCAGGCCAUUCUGAAAUUCAAGCACGUUGAAAAGAAGUUAUGGAUAAAUUUGCAAGUCUUGGUAAGAGAAUGCCAGAGCCUUUCAUUAGAAACAAGAGACGGUACGACAGAUGUGAAUAGAAUUGAACAAGAAAUGGUUAAUGAAGAAGAAACAGAGAGAUAAGCAGUUCCUACUUAACAAACAAUGAGCAAGCUUCUGUAAAGCAAACUGAAAGAUAAGUAGUAUUGGCAGUACCAAUAGUGAAGCUGCUGUUUAUGUAUUGUAGUAAUAAAUGUAUACAUGCAUCUGCA
Corticium candelabrum is the source of this 1231-nucleotide long non-coding RNA. RefSeq lists it as uncharacterized. The transcript has 11 exons. The record is from RefSeq and is a predicted model, not a curated record. Lineage: Eukaryota; Metazoa; Porifera; Homoscleromorpha; Homosclerophorida; Plakinidae.